CAAUAGCGUAUAUUAAAGCUGUUGCGGUUAAAAAGCUCGUAGUUGGAUUUCUGUCAAGUACAACUGGUCCGCCCUCCGGGUGAGCACAUAGUUUGGUCUUGGCAUCUUGCUGGAAAUUGUUGAUGCACUUGGCUGUGUGGCGCAGUGUCCAGCACUUUCACUUUGAGGAAAUUGGAGUGUUUCAAGCAGGCAAUGCCUUUGAACACAGUAGCAUGGAAUAAUUAGAUUGGGCUUUUGCUCCAAUUUGUCGGUUUCUGGAGCUGAGGUGAGAAUUAAUGGGGAUUGUUGGGGGCAUCCGAAUUUAGCCGUCAGAGGUGAAAUUCUUGGAUUUGUUAAAGACGGACUACUGCGAAAGCAUUUGCCAAGGAUGUUUUCAUUGA
This 380-nucleotide ribosomal RNA is filed under the name uncultured eukaryote. RNAcentral's name for it is "partial 18S ribosomal RNA". It matches the Rfam family "Eukaryotic small subunit ribosomal RNA", at positions 592 to 976 of the family's 1831-position model. The record is from RNAcentral.